Non-coding RNA from Phascolarctos cinereus (koala), 1065 nucleotides. Lineage: Eukaryota; Metazoa; Chordata; Mammalia; Diprotodontia; Phascolarctidae. The record is from RefSeq and is a predicted model, not a curated record.
CUAGACUGUGCAGGACUUUAAAAGAAUCAUCAUCAUUGUCAUCUUCAUUAUCAUUGCAGCAACUGGUUGAUGGAGCCCAGGAACAGGUAUUGAAAUCAUUCUCAAGACUCUGUUGAUUCAGGAGACUAAAGAUAAAGACUGUUGACAUAAUUUCCUGUCUGCCUGAGUAUGAAACAGCCAUGAGGACCAGAGCACCAGGCUCACUCUGAUGCUUGGAUGGUAGGCCACAAUGAGCAAUGAAGCAAAGGAGUUUUACUCAGCUGAAUCAACUCUGGGAGCCCUCGGUGCUUGUUCAUUGAACUUCCUUCUCCUGCUGUGGUUUAGUCACAGAAACAAUGCAGAAAACACAAAAGACUCACAGGAUCCUGUAAGCGAACACAGAAAAAAACGCAAUGACUAACAGGCACCCAUAACAAUCAAGACAUUCUUCUUUCUUCCAGAGAGUCCCACUUUCCACCCCAGGAACCUAAAUGGGCCUCUGGUCUGCUUAAUAUAAUACUACAUUAAGGGUUCAGUCUACCUUUAGAAAGGAAAUGAACUUAGAUUUGCUAGAGAGUCAACCUCUCAACAUCCUGGUAAGGCCUUCUUUCUCUGUGGAGUAGUGGAUGGAGUGUUAGACUUGAAGUCUGAAGAACUGGGUUCAAAUCUUGCUCUAACUGCUUUUUAACUAUGUAAAAUUGGGCAAAUCACUUGAUUUGUCUGAACCUCAGUCUAUUCAUCUGUGAAAUGAGGAGCAUCAAUUAGGUGGUUUCUGGGAGUCCUUCUAGCUCCAAAUUUAUUGUUCUAUGAUCUUUAAGUCCUCCAGGCUUGUAGUACUGUCCUAGGGAUUUAGACACAGCUGGAAGAAAAGGAGAUAAGCUUGGCACUGCAGGAAGGAUGACUCCUUUUCCUUCAGAUCUUACACCAUCCAAGCAAAAUUCAGGUUUUACUGUUCUACGUUGCAGCUCAGUUUCUUGUUGUUCUAGCUCCGUACUAUAUGAUCCCAGACCCUUAUUUACUCUUGACAUGCCUCCAGAAGGCUGAAGUUUCUAUGAAUGCAGUCACUAAUCAGCACAGGAGUGAGCA